This 253-nucleotide ribosomal RNA is filed under the name uncultured bacterium. Its description in RNAcentral is "partial 16S ribosomal RNA". It matches the Rfam family "Bacterial small subunit ribosomal RNA", at positions 524 to 776 of the family's 1533-position model. The record is from RNAcentral.
UACGAAGGGGGCUAGCGUUGCUCAGAAUCACUGGGCGUAAAGCGCACGUAGGCGGACUCUUAAGUCGGUGGUGAAAUCCUGGAGCUCAACUCCAGAACUGCCUUCGAUACUGAGAGUCUCGAGUCCGGGAGAGGUGAGUGGAACUGCGAGUGUAGAGGUGAAAUUCGUAGAUAUUCGCAAGAACACCAGUGGCGAAGGCGGCUCACUGGCCCGGUACUGACGCUGAGGUGCGAAAGCGUGGGGAGCAAACAGG